Molecule: ribosomal RNA, 671 nt
Filed under: uncultured bacterium
Lineage: Bacteria
Description: bacterial SSU rRNA
Rfam family: Bacterial small subunit ribosomal RNA
Source: RNAcentral
GGGGAUAACACUUAGAAAUAGGUGCUAAUACCGCAUAAGCGCACGAAGCCGCAUGGAUUUGUGUGAAAAACUCCGGUGGUGUAAGAUGGACCCGCGUCUGAUUAGCUUGUUGGCGGGGUAACGGCCCACCAAGGCGACGAUCAGUAGCCGGCCUGAGAGGGUGGACGGCCACAUUGGGACUGAGACACGGCCCAAACUCCUACGGGAGGCAGCAGUGGGGGAUAUUGGACAAUGGGGGGAACCCUGAUCCAGCGACGCCGCGUGAGUGAAGAAGUAUUUCGGUAUGUAAAGUUUUUUUAGCAGGGAAGAAAGAAAUGACGGUACCUGACCAAGAAGCCCCGGCUAACUACGUGCCAGCAGCCGCGGUAAUACGUAGGGGGCAAGCGUUAUCCGGAAUUACUGGGUGUAAAGGGAGCGUAGACGGUUAAGUAAGUCUGGAGUGAAAGGCCGGGGCCCAACCCCGGGACUGCUCUGGAAACUAUUGAACUUGAGUGCAGGAGAGGUAAGCGGAAUUCCUAGUGUAGCGGUGAAAUGCGUUGAUAUUAGGAGGAACACCAGUGGCGAAGGCGGCUUACUGGACUGUAACUGACGUUGAGGCACGAAAGCGUGGGGAGCAAACAGGAUUAGAUACCCUGGUAGUCCACGCCGUAAACGAUGAUUACUAGGUGUCG